UUGAAGUUUCGGAAAUUAAAAUAUUUUUAUUAAAAUUAUGGAUGGGACCCACUUUUGUUUUUGUCAAAACAUGUGCUGAGAUUUUUCAAGAAUGACAUGCCUUGAUAGUCAUGGUCUUGGCAUGCGUAAGGAAAAAAUAAAAUAAAAUAUUAUUUUAUUAUUUUAGUCUCCUAUGGCGUUCUAGCAUUUUCCUAUAAAUAGGCGCUUAAGUUAGAAUUGAAAAUCACACCAGAAUCAGAGAAUUCUAGCUUCUUCUAUAAUCUUGAGCGUAUUUCUUUCGAAUUUUAGAAAGCUUUGAGCGUAGAAAAUAGUAAAAUCUUUCUUCAAGAAUAUCCCCGUUAUACCAGUUGGAAUACAUUUCUUUUCAAGGUAAGGAAUGUUAUUUUUGUUCAAUAUUCUCUUGAAAUAAUAUUUUCUUCCAUACUCUGUAGUAUGUAAGUAAUAUUAUUUCAUUUCAGAUUUCAAAUUCUAUACUCGUUUGUUAAAAUUUUGGCUUCUAUACUCCAUGAAAUUAGUAGAAUAUCCUUGAUAUUUGCGCUUCAUCCAGUAUCUUUUCAUGAAAAUAUUAUUUUGAGCAUUCUUGAUAAGUUUUAACUUUUUCAUACUGGAGUACUAUUCACGGGAUUACUAUUUCCAAAGUACUAUUCAAGGGAUACUAUUCACUCGAGUACUAUUCACCCGGGGUACUAUUCAUGAUAAAAAUUGAUUCGUUUUCGGUCCAAAUUAUUUUUGGUACAAUAUUAUUCUUGAAAUUUACUCCACAAAACAGUAUCAUGUUGACAAUUUAGACGUUAUUGAUUUCUGGAUAAAUUAAAUUAUAAAUCUUUAAAAAUUUAUCCUUGAACUUGUUUUAUUGAAUUCUUAUAUCAUUGUCAUCAUCCUCAUAUUUAUAUUAUGUUGAAAGUCAUCUGUGGCAUGUAGUGCAUAGAUGGACUUGGUAUGAUUAUGACCAGGGAUUAUUCGGUAUAAUCAUGACCGUAAUGUUGCAAAUGAUGCGGUAAAAGUCUUCAUUGGCCCGUAGUGCAUUGAUGGACAUUUGUUGGCAUGAUCAUGACCAUUGAUGAAUACACGAAUAUCCUUGGCCCGUAGUGCAGUGAUAAUUUGUGGUUGUUAUAUUUUAUCAGUUUAACACUGUUGAAGGCUAACGAUAAAUUAUUCUGCAUUAUGUUAGUAAUAAUAUUUCUUACUGGACUAGUUGAGCUCACCCUUUUGCUUUCAUUGUCCUCUUCAGAAAAUGAGAACGUAGCUGGGACUAGUCGGUGAACGGAGUGACGGUCCAGAUGAUAGCAUUAGUAGUUCUCACUAUUCUAUGAAAUAAUGUGAUAAUAAUUGUAUUGAGGACUCCAUUUGAGUUGAAUACUGUCUAGAAGACAAUAUUCGUAUUAAAACUCUCAGUUUAUGUUUUGUCGUAUUAUACACGACAGUUGCAUUAUUAAGUUGUAUUUGAAUUUUGUACCAUGUAUUUGGCGACUCAAGAUGGGUGAUGUAUACCUAUUUUGGGGGCGUCACAAGUGAGGAUUACUAAAACAGCCAUCUCGGACCAUCACUCCGUUCCCCGACUAGUUCCGGCUACGUUCUCAUUUCCUGAAGAGAACAAUGGAAGUAAAAGGGUGAGCUCAAGUAGCCCAGUAAGAAAUAUUAUG
RNAcentral lists this long non-coding RNA (1643 nucleotides) under Panax ginseng (ginseng). RNAcentral's name for it is "long non-coding RNA (PGIN_LNC018224)". Lineage: Eukaryota; Viridiplantae; Streptophyta; Magnoliopsida; Apiales; Araliaceae. The record is from RNAcentral.